UAAAACCUUUAGGGCAUUUUUCAGACACUCCUCUUGCAAGCAAGUAUCCUCCCAUUUGUGCAGGUGAAUUUGUUGAACAAGAGCUUGCUAUCAUAAAUCUUAAAGGUAAUAAUGGAGCAUGAUAAUCCCUAUUCAAGAUAGUAAGUGGAUACCUGUAGCAGGUUUAACUUCUUGAAAGUGAUGCUAACUUGGACUUGUUCUUUUUUGCUAGCUAUUCGCACACAUAGCAUCAGAUGCUGUGCUAAAACCUUUAGGGCAUUUUUCAGACACUCCUCUUGCAAGCAAGUAUCCUCCCAUUUGUGCAGGUGAAUUUGUUGAACAAGAGCUUGCUAUCAUAAAUCUUAAAGGUAAUAAUGGAGCAUGAUAAUCCCUAUUCAAGAUUAAGUGGGGAUACAUCUAGCACUCGAGGAGCUAUAAAAGACGCAAGUUGAAAUAAGAUUCUUUUGUCAAUUCGUGUCCAAUAAACAAGCACAAGGGCAGGAGAGCCUUUAUCAAGGUGCAAAGUAUAAUUGUAUCAUCAAUACAGUAUUUACUUUGUUCAAGACUCGAAGUGAUUAGGCAUAUUUCCCAAUUGACUGCAAUAUGUGCUACAUUUGUUUUAGAGAAAAAGACACUUAGAGCUCCUUUUAAGUACUUAAUGACCAAAAUGCUCCCCUUUUUGGAAAAAGACAAAACAUGCCCCUUUUGACGGUUUUAAGACCAAUCCUUCCUUUCUAUGCCUAGGGCUGGUCUUCACCAACGCUCCUCCUUUUUUCCUUUGUUUUUUACACGCUUUUUUUUGUCUUUUU
Molecule: long non-coding RNA, 788 nt
Filed under: Nicotiana benthamiana
Lineage: Eukaryota; Viridiplantae; Streptophyta; Magnoliopsida; Solanales; Solanaceae
Description: long non-coding RNA (NBEN_LNC023538)
Source: RNAcentral